UUGAGCGUAAUAAAGCUCUCACUCGAGGUUUAAGCUUAAAUAUGCUUCUAUAGCACUAGCGUUGGACUCCAGGUGAGAAACUAUGACUCCUUAUCCAAUUUCUUUCCUGCGCAUAAUAUCUCCUUUGUUUAAACCGAAUAUUUUGUAUAUAUUGAAGCCUUCGAUACAAUGAUUAUAUUUGUUCUUGAAAUAUGAUCCUUAAUGUUCGGCGAGCAUAUUGUUUUCUUGGCUCGAACUUGGAACCUUGAGCUUGUUCUUGAAAUCUUGAACUUGUCAAUUCUCUUGGUUGCUAUGUUCAGGGCUAAUUCCUAUACUUUAUUUCUUGGCCUGAACAUUUUCCUUGAAUCGAUAUUGAACUAUAUUUAUUCUAAAAAAUCUUGUCUUGAAUGCUUUCUGAGAAUAAAUAUUUCGCUGGCUCGAACUUGAAUCUCAUGUUUAUUGAAUUCAUUGAGAUCUUCAUAUACUCGUUCUUGGAAUCCGAUAUUGAACCUAUUGUUCUUCUUGACUUUCAUAUUCACGAAUAUUCUCUCCUUGGCUUGAACGGAAUUCUCGAACAUGUUCAUUAUCCUGAGACUUUAUCCUGAGACUUGACUUGAUAUUCAAUUAUCAUGAUCGUGACUUAUCUUGUGAAUGAUUGACUUGAUUCUUGAAUUGAUUCUUGAAAUGAAUGACUUGAUAUUCCUAAAAGGAAUGAUAUUGAUUCUUGAACCUACUGUCCCCACCCUUGAGGACGCUCUUGGGGGAGCUGGGCCCUAGGACCAUUUCGGCAAGACGAUCGGGCAGUAUUGGGCUGACGAUGACUGGUCUCCCGAAUGGUACCUCCUGAUGGUUCGGACUCACGUUCGUUUGGAGUUAAACGUUCCUGAGCCGGAUCGGCACGUUCCGGUCGUGCCUCUUGCUUGUUUCCGACCGAGUGGCCACUCGGGACGGAGUGGAGGGAUAAGGAUGUGAUAUGAUUUUAUUUGUUGGGAGUUACAAGGUUGGAGACCCGACCAAAUAUUGAACUCAAGCCGUACAUGUUACACUCUUGUACAUGUUACACUUCUGUUAAUGAAAUUCUUGUAAAGUCUCUCGUUAUAUGUUCUGUUCUGUUGAUUCUCAUCAUACUCAUGGAUCAUAUGUUUUUCACUAAGUCAUUCGGACUUAUUCGUUUCUCCUUUCUGAUAUUAAUGCGCAGGUAAAAGAAAGACUUAGACCUAACUUUUCAUACCAAGUGUUAAAGCUCGUGUAUGCCUCCGAUUAGUCUCGUCGAGAGGUAUCUCUAAUGAUGUUCCGUAUAGGAAUCCUUUGAUCGAGAAUUUUGUAAUAGAGUAAGUGGUGUCGAAGUCGACUUGUAAUAGAACCUCCUUUUGUAAACACGAUGGUAUAGAUAUUGCGGUUUAAUAUUUUGAUCAUCGAAAUUUUGAGGAGCAUAUUUGGGGUCAUUGAAUGUACUGCAUGUUGAGUGGUGUUCCGCCACGAGGUGCCUGCUACUCGGGGCGGGGCGCUACAGUUAUAUUUUUCUUGGAAUAUGAUCCAAUAUUGAUUCUUGAACCUACUGUCCCCACCCUUGAGGACGCUCUUGGGGGAGCUGGGCCCUAGGACCAUUUCGGCAAGACGAUCGGGCAGUAUUGGGCUGACGAUGGCUGGUCUCCCGAAUGGUACCUCCUGAUGGUUCGGACUCACGUUCGUUUGGAGUUAAACGUUCCUGAGCCGGAUCGGCACGUUCCGGUCGUGCCUCUUGCCUGUUUCCGACCGAGUGGCCACUCGGGACGGAGUGGAGGGAUAAGGAUGUCAUAUGAUUUUAUUUGUUGGGAGUUACAAGGUUGGAGACCCCACCAAAUAUUGAACUCAAACCGUACAUGUUACACUCUUGUACAUGUUACACUUCUGUUAAUGAAAUUCUUGUAAAGUCUCUCGUUAUAUGUUCUGUUCUGUUGAUUCUCAUCAUACUCAUGGAUCAUAUGUUUUUCACUAAGUCAUUCGGACUUAUUCGUUUCUCCUUUCUGAUAUUAAUGCGCAGGUAAAAGAAAGAUUUAUACCUAAAUUUUCAUACUAAGAGUUAAAGCUCGUGUAUACCUCUGAUUAGUCUCGUCGAGAGGUAUCUCUAUUUAUGUUCCGUAUAGGAAUCCUUUGAUCGAGAAUUUUGUAAUAGAGUAAGUGGUGUCGAAGUCGACUUGUAAUAGAACCUCCUUUUGUAAACACGAUGGUAUAGAUAUUGCGGUUUAACAUUUUGAUCAUCGAAAUUUUGAGGAGCAUAUUUGGGGUCACUGAAUGUACUGUAUGUUGAGUGGUGUUCCGCCACGAGGUGCCUGCUACUCGGGGCGGGGCGCUACAGGUGGUAUCAGAGCUUUGGGUUGGUAAAGCUUUGGGUUGGUAAAGCUUUGGGUUGGUAAAGCCUUAGGUUGGAUGCCCGGGCGAUGAUGGAAAGGGAUCUUUGAGAAUUGUAGAGCUAUGAAUUGAAUCUUGGUCUAAAUUGUGAUUGGCAGUAAUCGAGUAUUAGAGGCAUUGAGAUGAUAAUUUAGCGUCUAUUACCGAUAUAGAUAUUGAGGAAUACCCCGUAGAAAUAUCUAUCAUACACGAUGAGAUUCUUGGUUCUUUUGGUUACUUCAGUUGGCUUCCAAUUCUUCGAUGUUGUUUAUCUCGAGUGAGUUUCCUAGUUUCACUUGAACUUGGUAACACCUUUUCUCGUAGACGUCUCAUUCCAUUUUACUUCAUAACUUGACUUCCUUGUCGAAACCAUAUUAUCUCGUUUUGAGUAUUGAUUUACGGUGAACCAAAUAUUCGGGAGUUCUUUUAUUCACUCCUUAUCAUUCCAAUGAAUUCAAUUUUGAUUCGUUGGCCUAUAUUGUCUAAUCUCAUUUGUUGAUCGUGAUCGAUUCUCUUAUCUCAUUUUAGUACCUCAUAGUCUUGGUUACAAAUUUUAUGAGGUUUCGUACCCCUUCAAAUUCCGCAUGGUUUGGAUUAUCUCUUGUUUUGAAGCCCUUACCUUAUUGUGCUACCAUCUCCACCUUCUAUCCUUUUUUUAAAUAUUCUAUGGUUUCGGCUUAUCUAUUUGCCGAGACUUCUUAUCCAGUUCACUCCAUCUUUAAUGUUCAAUUAUUUUGAAUACCAUAUGAUUUUGGUCAUGUUCUUGUGAGGUUCCUUAUUUUUUUCCCACUACCAUCUGCUUUUGAUAAUUGUGAGGUUUUCUAUCUCUUUGAACACUCUAGUUUCGGCUAAUCUAUUUGUUGAGACUUUUUAUUUCCUUGAAUAUUUCUUUACUUAUUCAAUAUAUACUACUCCAUUUUCAGUGUUCCAAUUUCCUUGAAAAUCUCGUGAUUUUGGUCACGUACCUUUGAGGUCCCUAUUCUCGUUUCAUUUGGCUAUACCAUUGUUAUUAUUCUAAUGUCGGGUCAAUCUUUCUACCUAUUUUUGAGGUUCUUGUUCUUUUGGCCUCAAAACUCAAUUCUUGUACAUAUGUUGUUCCAUUGUUAUUAUUGAUCACAAUGGAGAUCCCAUAUCUCAUUUUAAAACUCCUUAUCUCAUUUCAAUACUUCGGCAUCUCGGUUACCUACUUUUUCAGGUUUCUGAUUCUUUGAAUACAAUAUUGCUUGACUAUCUUACUUCCUUCCCACUAUUGAUCACGAGUGAGGUAUUUGAUCUCGUUUGAAUGCCUCGAUUUCCUGGUUCCGUUCUUUUUGAGAUUCCUCAUCUCAUUUAAUACUUCUUGAUUUGGAUAGCUUUGGAUAGCCUAUUCUGUGAGGUUUCUUAUCCCUUUGAAACCUUGUGAUUCGACUUCUUUGUGUCGCUUCUAUUUGUUCCCUCUCACUCAUAGACCAUGAUUAUUGUUAAUUCAGGGUAAAAGUAUGGACCUUGUUUGGGCAAUGUUGUGUAAUAUGACUACGGUUGUAUGCAUCUAUUGUUAUAUCAUCUUAUGGAUUCGACCUGGAAUAGUUUCGACGAUUACCUUACUGAACGGAAAAAAAAAAAAAAAAAAAAAAAAAAUAAAAAAAAAAAAAAAUAAAAAAAAAAAAGGUUAUGUAGUUAUCACGACUUAGAAAUUCUAUAGAUUUUGUUGACUCUUAAGGUAUCUUGAGCGCUUUGAAUUCUUGAUUCUAAUCGUCAGGGUACAGGGAGCUAAGUGCUAUGUAGGGCAAAGUGCUAUACAACGGGAGUCACCUCUUAAUCUUGCAUGAGCCACCUCUCGAGUCCCUAGUAUUCGAUAAGUCAGCCAUAUCUUGACAUUGGAUUAUCAUCUUUUGCAAUUCUAUUUGGUUAAUAUCAAGAGCUAAGUGCUAUGUGGAGAAGGUGUUUAAAGUACAACACCUAUGUCAAUAACACUAUAGAGGAUUGCACUUCUCUUUGUAAGAUGUGGACGAAGAACUACAAGAAUUUGUCCUUGAUGAUCAACUUGCUAUAAAUAAGUUUUGCCCAUCAUGUAGUUUGGUUGAAGUAAUUCACCAUCAUCAUUAAUAGACAUAAUGUAUUAAUGUUUCGGAUGUGAUUAGAGCGUGCUUAGUGUCGAAGAAUGACAUUAGACUAGUUCACCUAUGUUGAAAUAGUAGUGAAUUCAAUGAAUUAAGGCUACUCAAUUGUCGGAUAUUCUGAGUCAUGACUUCUCUACGAUAAGUAUUUAUUAGUCAUGCGGUUGCGAAACCACUGGAAGAUUGUAUCAACUGUUGCCAUUUUCGAUUACUCUUGAUUCUAGAAGUAAAGCUCUCUUCCAUCAACCGUUGCCAGGUCGAUCUACUAUUUGAAAACCUUUGCUUUGCGAACGCCAUCUACGAUCAAGCUCCUCUAUUGUCCCAUGUUGACACAAUAAGUAAAUCAAGCUUGCCCGACCUCUUUGAUUGUAAUCGUGGUGCAUUCAAUUCCACUUUAUGUAGACCAAUGAGAAGAGAAAUUUUUGUGGACCGGGAAAGUAGUUGCGAGUCAGAUUCAAAAUCUAUCUCUUAUAGCUAACUCACAUUGUCUCGAUAUAGAUCAUAAGUCAUCUCGUUCUUAUGAAAGCAACUAUCCGCAAUAUGGGACAAAAUCUCAGCUCGGUACGAGAAAUGUUCUCAAAACUAACUCUCGUGUGAGUGGAUGACUGAAAACAUUGAAGGAACCUUGUGAACGUAUAACGCAGAUCAUCGUGAUAAUUGGGAAUCUAUCAAGCUGGAAUACAGACAGCUUCGCAGUAGUUCAUGGAAUAAAGUGUCAAUCAAGCUUGCAAUUCCAGACUAGAUGAGCGGCGAAUAACCAACGAUAGCAAACACAAGGGGUGGUGAUUGGAGAUCGUAGGGAUGCUACGGUAAAGUUCGACUUAUCAAAUAAAGAUCAAAGCCUACACGAGAUUGUCAAAAGAGUUAUGGAGAUGUGGAAGUAGAUAUGUAAUUCUAAUUACCAUAAAUGUUCGAGCGAAAUGGAGGAGAAGAAAUACGUUCUCUUGAAGAAUGUGACACGGAUGACUAGGGAGAGAUUCAAAGAUUCGAACGAUAUAAGACCCUUAUUAAUCCCUUUCAUUCCUCUCAUCAGACCAUUUGUAGCACUCUAGCUAGAACCCUAACUCGAUUGUUUCCUAAUAGUUGAUGUACCUCACAAGUCCCAUUAAUUGGUUGACGAACUAUAUCUCGGCCUUCAACUUCUAGAACGUUAUAAAUAUUUAGUAUCUUGCUCAACGGUAAGGCUACAUCGAGUAUGAGCCGAAUGAACUGUACGAUAUUGCUAAUGGAGCCGCGGAAAUUAAAGUUCCAGAAGCAGUACUUCCUAGCACUACCUCAGAUUUGAAUUGAAUAAGUAAUUUCGAAUUCAUUACGAUAGUAGUUUGACUCGUUACUUAAGUCAGUACCAAGUCUGGAACCUAGAGAUCGUUAAGGAAACAAUUUAUGAUAUGUUUUAGGUAUACCGACUAAGCUAACACCAUUUUGAUCGAUUUCGGAUAUUAUUCGUUGAAGCGACAUGGCUUGAAGAUAAAUAAUCACAUGAAUAGAAAUCGGUUCCUAUUGUCGGCACCAACUUUCAUUACUUGCUAGAGAUUAUACGCUCAAGUGAUAUCUAUCAUGAUAAUGAAUUCUCCAAUCACAAGAUUUGAAGGUAUUAUGGAGAAACCACCAGGUUGAUGAAGCGACGGAUGAGCAAGAAAAUAAUUUUAAGAAAUUGUAUUUCCAUGUUCGAAUAAUAGUUGAGAAUCUGGGGACCAGAUUCUUUUAAGGAGGGAAGUGUGUAACACCCCGUAAAUAUGUAAGUUGUUUAAGUUUGGGGAUAAUUGAAUUUAUUUAGUUGAUAUGUGUCGAUAUGAAAUUAUAAUAUAUCUCGAAUUUGAUGGGAAGUGUAGAAUUGUAAUUAUCUAAAGUUAUGGCAUCUAUUUGGUAAUUAAGAAAACAAUUUGGCCUUAUAGCCAAUUUUCAGAAUUUAUAAUUGAGAUAUGGAUUGACGUGUGCAUCAUCAAUUGCAGCCACGUUUCUUCUUCUUCUCUCACCUUCUCACCGUCUCUCUCUCUCCAUCUUCAUCUCUUCACUCUCUCUUUUCUUAAUUACCCAACCUUUAUCUCGUUCAUUUAACAGUUCUAGCAAUAGCAAUAUUCAUGGUAUCUUCCUUUCUCCAUGAAAACUCACGGCCGAGCACCCCUUUAGAACCUUUGUUCUUCCGAUUUUUAAAUUAGUAAAUCUAGAAAUCUUAAAAUAGCAACAUGGUUGAAAGAUACGGGGCUGAGAUGGUGUUCUAUUUCCAGCAGCCGGAAUCCGGCGAAGAAGACAAGUUGUCACUUAUAAUUCGAAUUUCAGCAGUUAGGCCUUCAAAGAAAUAAUUGUUUAGAGGCCUUGAGAUUGAACCUCGUUGAUCAGGAUCCAUCGUUAGAAAGCUAAUGAAUUUGGCUCUCUAUUGGUGGUAGUUCUCGAUGGCUUGCACCGACGUUGGUCGCCGGAGUUUGACGAAGAAUUCACCCUGCUCGCUGCGAUUUUGGGGAAGCAAAAUCUGCUGCCGCACCUGUUUUCGGGGCCGAAAUCGAAAGGUUUCGAAUGCGAAUUUGGAAUCGGUUCCUUCAGGAAACUCGUAGAGGACAUCGUAAACUAUAAGUAAGUGUUCAAUUGUAUAGAAUUAGAAUAUUUAAUAUACGUGUUUUUGAGGUCCGAAUCCGAUGACAGUAAUCUGCCGGAAACAGGGCAGUUUUGAGUACCUUCUUGCGGGACUGUUUUCGAUAUGUUCGGGUCAGAAUUUAGGCUGUGCGUCUUCAUGAAACUUGUAGAUUAAGUUGUCAGGUUUCAUUUGAUGUAUUAUUUGGACAAUUUGGAUAACUUUACAAUUUGUUAUGAUUUUUCAAACGGGCUGUGACAGCGGACGAAAUUAUCCGAAAAUCUGGUAGGUUUAUGUAUUCAUCUUUCGGGGUUGUUAUUGACGGGUUAUGUUGUUAAUUUGGGAUUAGUGUCUUCAGUAAACUUGUAGAUACAGAUGUUACCUUUAACUUUAUAUAUCGUUUAGGUCAUUCGGAUAAGUACGACGAUCGAAGUGAUUAUUUGAAUAGAGUGCCACGAGAAGCAAUUCUUAGUAUAUGUUUAAGAAAUUGACUAUGUCAUAUAGUGGAUGGUAAUAUGGCUAUAUUACUGUUUGGAAUCUUAUUUAGUUCUAAUAUUUUCAUAGGUGUUGAGCGUAGUAAAGCUCUCACUCAAGGUUUAAGCUUAAAGAUGUUUCUAUAGCACUUCUAUAACACUAGCGUUGGACUCCAGGUGAGAAACUAUGACUCCUUAUCCAAUUUCUUUCCUGCGCAUAAUAUCUCCUUUGUUUGAACCGAAUAUUUUGUACAUAUUGAAGCCUUUGAUACCUUUAUUAUAUUUGUUCUUGAAAUAUGAUCCUUAAUGUUCUGCGAGCAUAUUGUUUUCUUGGCUCGAACUUGGAAC
Molecule: long non-coding RNA, 7835 nt
Filed under: Erythranthe guttata (spotted monkey flower)
Lineage: Eukaryota; Viridiplantae; Streptophyta; Magnoliopsida; Lamiales; Phrymaceae
Description: long non-coding RNA (EGUT_LNC003208)
Source: RNAcentral